RNAcentral lists this ribosomal RNA (206 nucleotides) under uncultured Anaerolineaceae bacterium. RNAcentral describes it as "partial 16S ribosomal RNA". It matches the Rfam family "Bacterial small subunit ribosomal RNA", at positions 568 to 773 of the family's 1533-position model. Lineage: Bacteria; Bacillati; Chloroflexota; Anaerolineae; Anaerolineales; Anaerolineaceae. The record is from RNAcentral.
CGUGCAGGCUGUUUGGAAAGUUGGAUGUGAAAGCUCCUGGCUUAACUGGGAGAGGUCGUUCAAAACUACCAAACUAGAGAAUGGGAGAGGGAAGUGGAAUUCCGGGUGUAGUGGUGAAAUGCGUAGAUAUCCGGAGGAACACCAGUGGCGAAAGCGGCUUCCUGGACCAUUUCUGACGCUUAGACGCGAAAGCUAGGGGAGCGAAC